Regulatory RNA element from Micromonospora echinaurantiaca, 131 nucleotides. It matches the Rfam family "ALIL pseudoknot". Lineage: Bacteria; Bacillati; Actinomycetota; Actinomycetes; Micromonosporales; Micromonosporaceae. The record is from Rfam.
AGCUCGUUCUUCGCGCGGAAGCUCGACCCGCGUUUGCCGUGGUAGUGGCGUUCGUCGACGAACACCGGGAGCGGUUCGGGGUCGAGCCGAUCUGCCGCGUGCUGACCGCGCACGGGGUCACGAUCGCCCCG